CAGUGAACAGGUAGCUGUGGAGCCUGGGGCGGUAGCGUG
Beauveria bassiana D1-5 is the source of this 39-nucleotide regulatory RNA element. It matches the Rfam family "JUMPstart RNA". The record is from Rfam. Lineage: Eukaryota; Fungi; Ascomycota; Sordariomycetes; Hypocreales; Cordycipitaceae.